UAAAAUACACAAUAGAAUAUGACUUAGAUUGUAUACGAUAUUU
This 43-nucleotide non-coding RNA is filed under the name Trypanosoma brucei brucei. Lineage: Eukaryota; Euglenozoa; Kinetoplastea; Trypanosomatida; Trypanosomatidae. The record is from RNAcentral.